GUCUACAGCCAUACCACCCUGAACACACCUGGUCUGGUCUGACCCUGGAAGCUAAGCAGGUAGGGCCUGCUGUGCAAC
This 78-nucleotide ribosomal RNA is filed under the name Octodon degus (degu). The record is from RNAcentral. Lineage: Eukaryota; Metazoa; Chordata; Mammalia; Rodentia; Octodontidae.